Molecule: long non-coding RNA, 503 nt
Organism: Antechinus flavipes (yellow-footed antechinus)
Lineage: Eukaryota; Metazoa; Chordata; Mammalia; Dasyuromorphia; Dasyuridae
Exons: 3
Source: RefSeq, a predicted model, not a curated record
UUCUAUCUGGACACGGCUCCUUGCGAAUGUGGAUUCACCGCCACCUUCUAAAGAGGUAAAAGCCGCCUGGUGCCGGUGUCCAGCCUCCCUGGGCCCUCCCUGGGACAUGCUUCACUGCAGGGGGGGCAAUGCUCCUUAAAGAAGCUGCGGCCCACAACUGCCAAUGCCCUUUUCGGGUUCACGAAACGCUUUCUCGCUUGCUGCCUCCCAUUUCACAGGGUUAUUGGAACUAUUUAUCUCAGAAGUUCCCUCUCAUCUGAUUGGAAAGUCUGACCUGGAUGGGCUUCUGUGGAUGGUGUAAAGAGGCUGCUCUCCUUAGGAAGGCAAAAGAAUAAGGUUGCAGAGAUCCCAGUUCAUCAAUCAAUUUGUCUGGAGAAUUACAAAGUCUGUCUGGACUGAGAGAUGCCUGAGUGCUUUGAAGGGGAAGUUUUGGGCACCUGGAGGACUUGACUGCCCCGUGGGGUGAGUCAUCAUGAAAAUAAUUUAUAAGCUUUUGGCCCUGA